Cinara cedri is the source of this 265-nucleotide non-coding RNA. The record is from the annotation of a GenBank genome assembly. NCBI's taxonomy places the organism in Eukaryota, Metazoa, Arthropoda, Insecta, Hemiptera, Aphididae.
AUGGUUUUACAAUGAUGUUUAUUUUUUUUAUUUUUUUUUAUCUAUGAACAACUUUUCUACCAGCAAUUUUGUUUCGAUUUACAAUAAAAGUACUUUUUCUAAAAGAAAAUCUGACUGGGGAGGUACUUUAGGAAUGACAUUUUUUAAUUAUUCCAUGAGUUUUUUUAAUGAAUGAGAAAAAUCGGGAAAAUAGGUACAAUAUUGAACAAAUAUUGUUAAUGAAAUGUAAUUAUUUUACCAUAAUAUUACAUAUAUAUUGUUGACA